UGGGGGGGAUGGUGUCUCAGUAUAGCAACUUGUACUGUGAAACUGCGAAUGGCUCAUUAAAUCAGUUAUCGUUUAUUUGAUAGUACCUUACUACAUGGAUACCUGUGGUAAUUCUAGAGCUAAUACAUGCUAAAAACCCCGACUUCAGGAAGGGGUGUAUUUAUUAGAUAAAAAACCAACGCCCUUCGGGGCUCCUUGGUGAAUCAUAAUAACUUAACGAAUCGCAUGGCCUUGCGCCGGCGAUGGUUCAUUCAAAUUUCUGCCCUAUCAACUUUCGAUGGUAGGAUAGUGGCCUACCAUGGUGGCAACGGGUAACGGGGAAUUAGGGUUCGAUUCCGGAGAGGGAGCCUGAGAAACGGCUACCACAUCCAAGGAAGGCAGCAGGCGCGCAAAUUACCCAAUCCCGAUACGGGGAGGUAGUGACAAUAAAUACCGAAACAGGGCUCUUUUGGGUCUCGAAAUUGGAAUGACAACAAUUUAAAUCCCUUAACAAAGAACUAUUGCAGGGCAAGUCUGGUGUCCCGGACCUGGUGAUUUCCCCUCCGAUAACGUAUAUUAAAGCUGUUGCA
This 569-nucleotide ribosomal RNA is filed under the name Penicillium sp. CCRBC4.1-S3. RNAcentral describes it as "SSU rRNA". It matches the Rfam family "Eukaryotic small subunit ribosomal RNA", at positions 56 to 617 of the family's 1831-position model. Lineage: Eukaryota; Fungi; Ascomycota; Eurotiomycetes; Eurotiales; Aspergillaceae. The record is from RNAcentral.